Molecule: non-coding RNA, 1434 nt
Organism: Gasterosteus aculeatus aculeatus (three-spined stickleback)
Lineage: Eukaryota; Metazoa; Chordata; Actinopteri; Perciformes; Gasterosteidae
Source: RefSeq, a predicted model, not a curated record
AACACCUGCACACAAGAAAGCAGCUUUUAGUUUUUAUAUCUAUUUCAGAAUAAGUUUUUAAAAAAUGGAGAAAUGAGGGGGAAGUAGAGGGCAGCAUCUUAAAUAAUUUAUGUGCCUCUAAAAUUCAUGAAAGUCAUUUAUUGGGAAUGAAAGAAGAAGCCCUCCUUUAAAUAAAGUCCUUUUUAAAGUAUUUUCAUCUCUGCAGAAAAUAAUCUGCGUUGCGUUGCAUCAAAUGCAGUUAAACUUCAACGUAUAUAUUAUCACUGCCUUAUCAAAUUCAUAACAUCUGUAUUAUGUGGAGCUAUAGCUUGUAAAAGUACAAAUGUGAUAUGUGGUGCAUAGAUUCAUAUUUCAUGCUAAUUUUAGAGUUGUAUGCAGAAGAUGUUAACAUCGGUCAGACUCAGGCUUUAGCUUCUUUAUAUAUAUAUUUUUUGUCACCUUAUUUUUUUCUUGUUACAACUUUUAAGUAAUGUAUACUGUAAUAACCUGACCCGCGUAUCUGUGACCACCAGUUUACUCUAAUCCAGCACCAAUGACAUCCUGUUAUUGAGCUAAAACGUAUUUUAUUAUAGGGCUUCCACGUCGGACAGCUGCUGACUCAGUUCACGUUCUGAAAACUUUGACCUUUGGCUGCGAUCACCGUGACCUGUGGCACCCUGAACGCCGUGUGCUGCAGCAUAUUUGCUGUUGAUUUAUAGCCAUGUGGCCGUGUUACAGCCGGCCACCUGACGCGACCUCCACUGAAGCAACACAUGAUACGUACAGAAUCACCUCCCUGUACGGCUGCUUAAACAAUUAUUACUUCUCAGAGAGGUAUUACAAAUCUAUAAUAAUUCUUCCUUGUUGAGGGUUUUUUAUGCUAUUGCAACUUUUCCACAUUCAUUUUUUUUUAAGCACAUUGUUAGCAACGGCUUAGCAUUAGCAUCCAGAGGCCUCUCGGUCUGGACGGCGAGGCGGGGGCUCACCUGCGCGCCCUCCUUCCGGUAGCUGCUGACGAUGCAGUGCACGAUGCCCUUGUACUUCCUCUGCAGCUGGGCGUCGGCCUGCAGGCGGCUCUUCACCACGUCGGCCGGCGUGGCCGUGACCCAGGAGAUGGACCCUGGAGGAGGGGAGACUUUUAGUUUCGAGGUGAUUCGGACGGUCAGGUUAGAAGGCCUGGGACGAGGACAACUACCAAGUGUUUAAACUUACACAAAACAUGGACAUUAAUGAACGAAAUAAAAAAACUCAAUUAGCUAUGAAUACUGAGUAGGUUUAGAGCUUUCAUUAAUUGCAGCGGGAGAGUUUUCUUUUUCACAUGUUUAAAAGAAGAUAUCUACAUCCAUCUAUUGUGGUGACGUUAUAUGUUUGUAUGAAAUAAGUUAAGUUUUUACCCCAUUCCCACGUAGUCUCUUCAACAUGGCUUUAACUUGACUAAACUUCUUUUCAAAGGUU